Non-coding RNA from Pantherophis guttatus, 362 nucleotides. The record is from RefSeq and is a predicted model, not a curated record. NCBI's taxonomy places the organism in Eukaryota, Metazoa, Chordata, Lepidosauria, Squamata, Colubridae.
UCACUUCUGCAUCUUCCUGCAGAAAGUUCAAAAUUCUAUUAACUUUCAACAUAAUGCUAAUUCAACAGGAAUGAUGCAUAAAACACCUAAUUUAAAUGGGGACUACUGUUAGCCUUUUAAACAAUAAUGACAAACAACAGACAUUAUUUCUUGAAUUAAGAAGAGACAUGUAUCUUUAAAUUUCUCCAAAUACAAAAAAUCAGCUCUCAAAUGCUUCAGGUGUUUUCCAAAAUCUUACCUGCAUGGAGUUCUAGAGAUUCUUCCUUGUCAGAAGUUUUUAGAUCACCAAAUUCUUGCAUGAAAGUGGUUUCUGAAGGAAAACGACUUGGUUCCAAGAAAUGGAGCAAGCUGAAAAGCUCUUC